RNAcentral lists this long non-coding RNA (1994 nucleotides) under Anas platyrhynchos (mallard). Its description in RNAcentral is "lncRNA (ENSAPLG00020012726.1)". Lineage: Eukaryota; Metazoa; Chordata; Aves; Anseriformes; Anatidae. The record is from RNAcentral.
AUGCCCCCGGCAGCCGCAACCGGCUCGGAACCGGGAGCGGGGCCGGGGGGCUGCGGGCACCGGGGGCUGCGGGCACCGGGGGCGCUUCCCCCCCCCCCCACGCCCCGCGCCGCCCCUGCGGAGCCGCCGGCGGGCGGUGCCCGGCGCAUCCUGGCCGUGCUCUGCCGCCUCCCCCGGUGCCACCGAGCCCAAACUUUGCCGGGAGCCCCCCCAGACACACACAAAACCCCGGUGGCAGCCCCCGGCUCACCUGAGCUCCGGGCGGCGGAGAGGGGCCGCGGCCGCCCCGGGGCUCCCCGAGCCCAUCCGGGGGAGCUGGGGGAGAGAGGAGCGGCACCGGCAGCGGCAGAGCUUGCGGGCUCCUCUUGCAUCUCCCAGGCACUGCAGAGGCUGCAUGUCCUUUGGGAGGAGGAGCAGGGACAAAAACAUGGCUGGAAAACAGCAAAAGCAGGACCCACACAAUCUGUGCCCCCGCAGAGCCAUGCGGAGCUUGUGCCAGAGCAUGGACGAUGUUUCCAGGGAAAUCAGACACGGUGGUGUCAACAGGGACUGCAGGAGCUCAUCCUCCAUCGGGGUAGGGUUUGGAUGCUCAGAGCAGACCCACACAGCAACCGCCAGGGACAAAAAUAAACGCCUGCCAUUUGGAGGAGAAACCAUCCCACACACAGAGGGUGAGGUGGGCUUGGCAGGGAAACACAAGCACCACCUGCUGCUGCAAGCGCUUGGCACGUGUCCCCAAGGAGAUCUAAGCGUGUGCCGAAGAGCUUCUCCUGUCUGGGCAGUUAUUGCAUGGUUACUGCAGUUACUGCAUCGUUAUUGCACAGUUAUUGCAUGGUUAUUGCAGUUAUUGCACCGUUAUUGCACAGUUAUUGCAAUUAUUUCAUGGUAAUUGCAGUUAUUGCACAGUUACAGAGCUCCCCACAACUAGAGCUCAUCAGGCUGUUGUAACUGGGCAUUGCAUCCUUUCCAAAAUAAAUUAAUUCUGUAAGAAAGUUGUUUUUUUUUUUUUACAAAAUCCUAUAUUUUCAAUAUGUUUUAAGAAAACGGUUACAUUAAGUUUUUGCUGCAUUUGCUUUUCAAAAAUCGAAAUGUUUGUGAUGUUAUUCUCUUUUGAAAUAUAUGUAAAUCCCAUCAAAUAGCUUCGGUUCGCUUCCAAUUAGUAGCAGUGCAGCAGCAGAGUGAAAAUGAAUGAAAAGCACUCUAGAAAACGUCUCAACUGAAAGCAUGUAAGGGAAAUACACGAUUUAGAUCAAGGCUAAUAAUAGAACUAAUUUAUUCACCUGUUAACCUGUAGCCAUUUCUCCAUUAAAAGUUGUUUGAGAACAAGCAGUACAAAAACUGCAUGAAAUCACAGUGGUUUUUAAGAGGUAAUGCAGGUAUGCCGAAUCCUGUCUCCCUGGGGGAUUUUCAAGCCUCUUCCAACCCUCACCUCUUCUCCUUCAGCCUGGGACAUCCUGAAGGUUUUUCUACAGGUAUCUGCGAGCUUUUGGGGGUCUUGUCACUGACAGAUGGUUUAACACCUUUACAAUUCCCUGGUACAGAGGGAGCAGCCUCCCUGUAGCCAUGGAGCACAGCCACGUGUAAGUGAGACACGUUCUGCCUUCAGCUCUUCCCCUUCCUUAAUGCUUCAUUUCAGAAGGAAUUUUUCAAUGUGGUAUUUCCCUCCGUGCUCUUUGGCAUCAACAAAUUGUUUUCAAAUCAUUUGCCUCGAAGAAGCUACUUUUUUUUUUCCCCAUACCGUGUGGGCAUGGUUACAGUCAGAAGAAUCCACACAUUUCUCACUAACUCAUUCUUCCAGCAAGCUCAGAUAACCCUACUGCUGUUCUCUUCUGCAGCACUCUGGACGAACUCACAGCUCUUUUAGCCGAUCUACUAAAGGAGAAGAAUCAUUCUGGAGCAAUUUGCUGCUAAAAUGAGGCUUCAGCAGAUGAUACGAGCAUCUUGAGAGACAGCACAGCACAAAACCCUGCUGCUCCACAAACCUGGAAAAGGCA